This 253-nucleotide ribosomal RNA is filed under the name uncultured bacterium. RNAcentral's name for it is "partial 16S ribosomal RNA". It matches the Rfam family "Bacterial small subunit ribosomal RNA", at positions 524 to 776 of the family's 1533-position model. The record is from RNAcentral.
UACGUAGGGCGCAAGCGUUAUCCGGAAUUAUUGGGCGUAAAGAGCUCGUAGGCGGUUUGUCGCGUCUGCCGUGAAAGUCCGGGGCUCAACUCCGGAUUUGCGGUGGGUACGGGCAGACUAGAGUGCGGUAGGGGAGACUGGAAUUCCUGGUGUAGCGGUGAAAUGCGUAGAUAUCAAGAGGAACACCUGAGGUGAAGACGGGUUGCUGGGCCAACACUGACGCUGAGGCGCGAAAGCCAGGGGAGCAAACGGG